ACGCAAUUGUAGGGCAACCUGUGAUUGAGUGGCGGAAGGGUUAGUAAUACGUGAAUAACUUGCCUUCGACCUGGGAUAACGGCUGGAAACGGCCGCUAAUACCGAAUGAGGUGGCUAGGGGAAACUCUUGUUUAUCAAAGUAGGGGACCUCGAAAGAGGCCUUGCGGUGGAAGAGAGGUUCAUGGGAUAUCAGCUAGUUGGUGUGGUAAAGGCGCACCGAGG
Molecule: ribosomal RNA, 222 nt
Filed under: uncultured Chlamydiales CRG80
Lineage: Bacteria; Pseudomonadati; Chlamydiota; Chlamydiia; Chlamydiales
Description: partial 16S ribosomal RNA
Rfam family: Bacterial small subunit ribosomal RNA
Source: RNAcentral